RNAcentral lists this ribosomal RNA (372 nucleotides) under uncultured organism. RNAcentral's name for it is "bacterial SSU rRNA". It matches the Rfam family "Bacterial small subunit ribosomal RNA", at positions 526 to 896 of the family's 1533-position model. The record is from RNAcentral.
CAGAGGGGGCAAGCGUUAUUCGGAAUUAUUGGGCGUAAAGGGCGCGUAGGCGGCCUGGCAAGUGGAAGGUGAAAUCCCUCGGCUUAACCGAGGAACUGCCUCCCAAACUGCUUGGCUUGAGACCAGGAGAGGUGAGUGGAAUUCCCAGUGUAGCGGUGAAAUGCGUAGAUAUUGGGAGGAACACCAGUGGCGAAGGCGGCUCACUGGACUGGUACUGACGCUGAGGCGCGAAAGCGUGGGGAGCAAACGGGAUUAGAUACCCCGGUAGUCCACGCCGUAAACGAUGAGUGCUUGGUGUAGCGGGUAUCGACCCCUGCUGUGCCGAAGUCAACACAUUAAGCACUCCGCCUGGGGAGUACGGUCGCAAGGCUG